Salmo salar (Atlantic salmon) is the source of this 54-nucleotide non-coding RNA. NCBI's taxonomy places the organism in Eukaryota, Metazoa, Chordata, Actinopteri, Salmoniformes, Salmonidae. The record is from Rfam.
UACAUUCACUACUGUAAGUCGCUCUGGAUAAGAGCGUCUGCUAACUGACUAAAA